This 357-nucleotide unclassified non-coding RNA is filed under the name Hevea brasiliensis (rubber tree). The record is from RNAcentral. Lineage: Eukaryota; Viridiplantae; Streptophyta; Magnoliopsida; Malpighiales; Euphorbiaceae.
AUUCACUAUUAAUCUUUAGUGAUUUAAAGCCACAAAGUUUCCCUGAUAUGUACAGCAAUCUCACGUGCUUUACAAAACCAAAAAUUCUCUUAUUUCUGCCAGCUUCAAAAAAUCACCUCACAGAAAUAGCUUCUGAAAGUUAUUAUUUCUCUUAUUUCUGCCCAAGCUUCAAACAGAAAUUGAACAAGAAACUUUAAUAUACACACACGAGGUAGCUUUUAUACGUGCUUACAUUAGAAAACACAAUCCAAAUACGAGUUGUAAUGCCUCCUGUUAAAUUCUAACAAGCCACCAUAAGUCCUAUCAGCAACCCCUACAAAGAGAGCUGCUGCAUCAGGGCUGAAGGAUAUACCAGCA